This is a long non-coding RNA of Xenia sp. Carnegie-2017, 495 nucleotides long. RefSeq lists it as uncharacterized. The transcript is spliced from 4 exons. Lineage: Eukaryota; Metazoa; Cnidaria; Anthozoa; Malacalcyonacea; Xeniidae. The record is from RefSeq and is a predicted model, not a curated record.
CUAUGAUAAACAGAUGGCAUCAUUUUUCUCAAGACUUUUUAAGGUAUAUUGACAAAUUUCUGAUUUGAACAAGCUCUUCACUCCUCUCGACACAGCAACCUGCAGUGUUUGACUGCGACUCUACGUCUGCUAUGAUAAGGAGCUUCACAAAUUCUAAAAGCAAUCACUUUGAAACAGAUAGCAUCACUUUUCUCAAGACUUUUUACGGUAUAUCGAAAAAUUUCUGAUUUGAACAAGUUCUUCACUCCUCUCGACACAGCAGAAGCAAAGACAUUACGUAGUUGGUUGUGUCGUCUUUAAUCUUUCGAAAUUUGUUAAGUCAUCUAUCUAUUUAUCGGAUUCCUAACACAGAUCAUGACAUGAAAACGUUUUACUAGGUAUGUCUUUAGAUAUUGCGCCUACUUGGAGUGAAAAGCUCAUUUCUUCACGUGAUAGUACACGUGAUUUUUUUCUGGUCUAUAAUUGUUCAACUUGUUGUAAGAUAGACUAUUUAAA